Molecule: RNA transcript, 2203 nt
Organism: Cydia splendana
Lineage: Eukaryota; Metazoa; Arthropoda; Insecta; Lepidoptera; Tortricidae
Exons: 4
Source: RefSeq, a predicted model, not a curated record
GAUGAUGGAGACAGGAGGUGGCCAUAGGAACUCUGUGAUGAAACAACGAAACCUAAUUGUGUUAGGGGUUUUUAGAAUUGUCUCGAUGAGUAUUAGUUGUCUGUCGUAAGAAAAGUACAGUCAGCGAUAAAAGCUUGUACCAAAAAUGAAAUUUUUGCCAAAAACUUAUUUAGAAUCUUCCUUUCACGCUACAUUUUGCUUGCAAACUGUAAUUAUAUAACACAUUUAAAUGUUUUCAGGUGCAAGCAGUGGGUCAAAUUAAUUGGGAACGAAGACCUGGUAUAUCUUCCCAUAGAAAAGUUACAUGAAUUAAAAUUUGUAUGCGCAGACCAUUUCGAAAAAAAGCUUUUAAUAAAAAAAACAAUCAACUUAAAACGUCUGCCAUCUGCCAUACCUUCAAAAAAUUUAAAAGCUGAUCCACUUCCUGAUGAAAUGCUGCUUAAUUUUCCUUGUCAUGUUUAUUCGAAAAGGAACAUUCCUACGAAUCUCGACCCUCUGGCGAUCGGUGACAAUGAAGUUUAUUCACUACCCCAAGUAGAAGCCAUCGCUGGGCCUAGUAACUCGGAAUCAUUCAUGUCUGGACAGCAGCUGCCAUCUCAAGCCAUACCAUUAAAAAAGCUUGAAGCUAUUCGAAUCGCUGAUGAAACUCUGCUGAAUUUUUCCAAUAAUGCUUAUUCAACAUUGUUGAUAAAAGGAAUGACAAUGAAGUUUCACUACCUCAAGUAGAAGCUAUCGCUGGGCCUAGUAACUCGGAUUCAUUCAUGCCUGGACAGCAGCUGCCAUCUCAAGCCAUGCCAUUACAAAAGCUUGAAGCUAUUCCAAUCACUGAUGAAACUCAGCUGAAUUUUUCCAAUAAUGCUUAUUCAAACAUUGUUGAUAAAAGGAAUGACAAUGAAGUUUCACUACCUCAAGUAGAAGCUAUCGCUGGGCCUAGUAACUCGGGCGUAUCUCAAGAGCAAUGGCAUCGUGCAUCAAACCACUGUUCCUGGCUCCGCUGCUCAGAACGGGGUCGCAGAACGCGCGAACAGGACCGUGAUGCAGGCUGCAAGAUGCGGGCCUAAGCAACGAAUUCUGGGCGGAGGCCGUUAACACGCGUCAAAAACCGCUGUCCUACGAAAGCUGUACUGGGGAGCACUCCCGAAGAAAAGUGGAGUGGGAAAAAGGUAUCUCUAAGUCAUUUACGUAUCUUUGGUUCUGUGGCUUAUGCGAUGACUUUGAUGCGUUCAAAAUUAGAUCCGAAAGGCAAAAAGUACAUUUUUGUUGGGUAUUGUCAGCAUACAAAGGGUUAUUAUAAUAGUGACGGAAAUAUAAUAAUGUGAUAUAUUUUUAGAACCGGCUCUGAAUGCCCUUUCAUUUAAUACCACACACGAUUGGUUUCUGAUCAAAAAAGUUUUUUUUUCCAUACAAAAAAAGAUGACGUCAUAACUCUUCUACUUUUUUUUCUUUUGGUGCUACGGGUCAAAUUGAUUCAAAUGGUCUAAAGAUAAAUCGUACCGAUUUUCAUACCUUUAACACCAUUUGCAGCUAAUUCCCGAAUAUCAGGCUGUACCGCUAACACUAGUAGUGAGUGGUAAAUCAUAGAUCAUUUAUUUUUCGUGAUAAACUUAUUUUACAUACAAAAGUAACAAUGAUAAGGUUAGACAUAGGUACAUAAUUACAUAUUGUUUACCAUGAAAUGGGCUCGCCUCAGCAUAAUGCCGACCCGAGAGUCGGCGCUGGUCUUCCGGCGAGUCCAUUUUUGUGGGCCACGAUCACAGCUGUGGUACGUCUGAUGAUGCCAAUUUGACAUAAAAUUCUCAGAGUACGAGCGAUCGAACGAGUACGGUCAUAAUACAUGAUUCGUCUAGCUCAGGUGAAUGUGAUGAUCCGGCCGAUGCAACUUAUAUUCCAGAGGAGGAGAGUACGGAUACUUCGGACAGUUCAACGGGUUCUCCACAUUUUGGAUUCCUAGCGGGCACGUCCAAUCCAGAUGCUCCACGGACUAUACAAGAAGCACUGAGUGGUCCAGACGCUGACAAUUGGAGGGAAGCAAUGUCUUGUGAGUACAACUCAUUAUAAAAAAAAACAUUUUAUUUUUCUUCUCAUUUUUUAAAUACUUUUCGCGGAGGUACACCUACAAAAAAAAUAUGCAUGAGUAGCCACUAAUACCCACUACAUACACAUAUAAAAAUAUUUGCAUAAAUCUUCGUGCGUCAUGUCAAAA